This 451-nucleotide ribosomal RNA is filed under the name uncultured bacterium. RNAcentral's name for it is "partial 16S ribosomal RNA". It matches the Rfam family "Bacterial small subunit ribosomal RNA", at positions 29 to 523 of the family's 1533-position model. The record is from RNAcentral.
AACGAACGCUGGCGGCAGGCUUAACACAUGCAAGUCGAACGCGUGUAGCAAUACACGAGUGGCGCACGGGUGAGUAACGCGUGGAUAUCUGCCUUUUGGUUCGGAAUAACCCCGGGAAACUGGGGCUAAUACCGGAUGGUUCCUUCGGGAUAAAGAUUUAUCGCCAAAAGAUGAGUCCGCGUCCGAUUAGCUAGUUGGUGAGGUAAUGGCUCACCAAGGCGACGAUCGGUAGCUGGGCUGAGAGGACGAUCAGCCACACUGGGACUGAGACACGGCCCAGACUCCUACGGGAGGCAGCAGUGGGGAAUAUUGGACAAUGGGGGCAACCCUGAUCCAGCCAUGCCGCGUGAGUGAUGAAGGCCUUCGGGUUGUAAAGCUCUUUUGGCGGGGACGAUGAUGACGGUACCCGCAGAAUAAGCCCCGGCUAACUUCGUGCCAGCCGCCGCGGUAA